Molecule: ribosomal RNA, 465 nt
Filed under: Vreelandella stevensii
Lineage: Bacteria; Pseudomonadati; Pseudomonadota; Gammaproteobacteria; Oceanospirillales; Halomonadaceae
Description: partial 16S ribosomal RNA
Rfam family: Bacterial small subunit ribosomal RNA
Source: RNAcentral
CCUACGGGCGGCAGCAGUGGGGAAUAUUGGACAAUGGGCGAAAGCCUGAUCCAGCCAUGCCGCGUGUGUGAAGAAGGCCUUCGGGUUGUAAAGCACUUUCAGUGGGGAAGAAAGCCUUGGGGCUAAUACCCUCGAGGAAGGACAUCACCCACAGAAGAAGCACCGGCUAACUCCGUGCCAGCAGCCGCGGUAAUACGGAGGGUGCGAGCGUUAAUCGGAAUUACUGGGCGUAAAGCGCGCGUAGGCGGUCUGAUAAGCCGGUUGUGAAAGGCCCCGGGCUCAACCGGGGAACGGCAUCCGGAACGGUCAGGCUGGGGGGAGGGAGGGAAAGGAAGAAUUCCGGUGUAGCGGUGAAAUGCGUAGAGAUCGGGAGGAAUACCAGUGGCGAAGGCGGUCUUCUGGACUGACACUGACGCUGAGGUGCGAAAGCGUGGGUAGCAAACAGGAUUAGAUACCCUGGUAGUC